This 254-nucleotide ribosomal RNA is filed under the name uncultured bacterium. RNAcentral describes it as "partial 16S ribosomal RNA". It matches the Rfam family "Bacterial small subunit ribosomal RNA", at positions 524 to 776 of the family's 1533-position model. The record is from RNAcentral.
UACGUAGGGUGCGAGCGUUAAUCGGAAUUACUGGGCGUAAAGGGUGCGCAGGCGGUCUCGUAAGCUGGGUGUGAAAGCCCCGGGCUUAACCUGGGAAUGGCAUUCAGGACUGCGAGGCUUUGAGUGUGGCAGAGGGAGGUGGAAUUCCACGUGUAGCAGUGAAAUGCGUAGAGAUGUGGAGGAACACCGAUGGCGAAGGCAGCCUCCUGGGCCAGCACUGACGCUCAUGCACGAAAGCGUGGGGAGCGAACAGG